This is a long non-coding RNA of Hibiscus syriacus, 545 nucleotides long. RefSeq lists it as uncharacterized. The transcript is spliced from 3 exons. Lineage: Eukaryota; Viridiplantae; Streptophyta; Magnoliopsida; Malvales; Malvaceae. The record is from RefSeq and is a predicted model, not a curated record.
AAUACCGGAUCCGGGUGGCGAUUAUAGGGUACCCAUUGUCAUCCUAUUCUUCAAUUUACACUGGUCACUCACCCUUUUAUCUUUUUUGGUCAACCAGAUCAUCGCCGGCGAAUAAUUCAAAAUCCGGCGCCGCAAAAUCAUCGCCUUUGAGCUUCAUCAAAGCGAGAAUCAUCAUAAAGUGAUCUCUUUGAGCGGGUUAUAGUAUAUAGGCAUGUCUUUCAAUGGCUUCCCUCCAUUCAUUUCAGCUCAGCUCCAUUAUCUCGUCAAUUACUUCCCCGAAAAAAUCAAGUUUUGAUUUGCGGGUUGAGCAGGUGUUAUCUGGUGGCAAAACCUACUCGGGGGGUCUCGAUCGAUUCACAUUGCUUAUUCCAUAUUGCUUAGACUAUAUUAAAUGGGGUACUAUAUAUUCCCAUUGGCUCCGCCGGAUAUAAUAUUUGGACCCGAAGACGAGGAUUUUCACACAUUACACAUGUCUGGCAGUGUAGGAGAGGGGGACUUGAAGUUUCUAAACAUGUUGUCUGAUUGGAACCAUAAAGACCAUGCUA